CAGGCUGCUCCGGGGUGCACGGGCCUGCAUAGGCCCGGCGCUGAGAUGGUUGAAGAACCAAACCCGUGAACUUGAUCUGGCUAGUACCAGCGAAAGAAGAGCGCAGCCCUCCAGG
This 115-nucleotide non-coding RNA is filed under the name Hydrogenophaga crassostreae. RNAcentral's name for it is "TPP riboswitch aptamer (THI element)". It matches the Rfam family "TPP riboswitch aptamer (THI element)". Rfam says of the family: Vitamin B(1) in its active form thiamin pyrophosphate (TPP) is an essential coenzyme that is synthesised by coupling of pyrimidine and thiazole moieties in bacteria. The previously detected thiamin-regulatory element, thi box was extended, resulting in a new, highly conserved RNA secondary structure, the THI element, which is widely distributed in eubacteria and also occurs in some archaea. Analysis of operon structures identified a large number of new candidate thiamin-regulated genes, mostly transporters, in various prokaryotic organisms. RNAcentral also lists the same sequence under 1 other name. The record is from Rfam by way of RNAcentral. Lineage: Bacteria; Pseudomonadati; Pseudomonadota; Betaproteobacteria; Burkholderiales; Comamonadaceae.